UUAAUCUUUACAAAAAUGGCACGUCAAUUUAUCGUUUUUGCCCUUUUGGCUUUGGCUGUGGCCACCGCUUUCGCUGCCGACGCACCUUCAGCUGCACCCUCUGCUUCUCCGACCAAAGCACCCACCACCCAAACCAAGGCUCCCGCCUCCGCACCCAAAACCUCCUCCUCCGCCCCCGCACCCAAAGCAUCGUCCCCUGUCGCAGAGGAACCAACCCCCGAAGAUGAUUACUCGGCAACCAGCCCCAGUGACUCUGCCGAGGGACCCACCGUAUCCUCCCCACCGGCUCCUACCCCGGAAAGCACCUCCGCC
RNAcentral lists this long non-coding RNA (312 nucleotides) under Brassica napus (rape). Its description in RNAcentral is "long non-coding RNA (BNAP_LNC004736)". The record is from RNAcentral. Lineage: Eukaryota; Viridiplantae; Streptophyta; Magnoliopsida; Brassicales; Brassicaceae.